RNAcentral lists this ribosomal RNA (416 nucleotides) under uncultured microorganism. Its description in RNAcentral is "bacterial SSU rRNA". It matches the Rfam family "Bacterial small subunit ribosomal RNA", at positions 9 to 420 of the family's 1533-position model. The record is from RNAcentral.
GAGUUUGAUCGUGGCUCAGAUUGAACGCUGGCGGCAUGCCUUACACAUGCAAGUCGAACGGCAGCAUGAUCUAGCUUGCUAGGAUUGAUGGCGAGUGGCGAACGGGUGAGUAAUACAUCGGAACGUGCCCUGUAGUGGGGGAUAACUAGUCGAAAGAUUAGCUAAUACCGCAUACGACCUGAGGGUGAAAGUGGGGGACCGCAAGGCCUCAUGCUAUAGGAGCGGCCGAUGUCUGAUUAGCUAGUUGGUGGGGUAAAGGCCCACCAAGGCGACGAUCAGUAGCUGGUCUGAGAGGACGAUCAGCCACACUGGGACUGAGACACGGCCCAGACUCCUACGGGAGGCAGCAGUGGGGAAUUUUGGACAAUGGGCGAAAGCCUGAUCCAGCAAUGCCGCGUGUGUGAAGAAGGCCUCGG